This 82-nucleotide microRNA precursor is filed under the name Trichobilharzia regenti. RNAcentral's name for it is "mir-3492 microRNA precursor family". It matches the Rfam family "mir-3492 microRNA precursor family". The record is from Rfam by way of RNAcentral. Lineage: Eukaryota; Metazoa; Platyhelminthes; Trematoda; Strigeidida; Schistosomatidae.
AGCCUUCUGUAUCCAUGCUGAGAUUUCGUCAGCGAUCAACCUGCUGACGUUGGCUGAUGAAACUUCCCAAGUGAGUGAAGCG